AAGCUCGUAGUUGAAUUUCGGGAUCAGACUGUCGGUCGUGCCUCGGUACGCACUGGCAUUAUUGGUUCCUACCUUCUGAAGAACCGCGAUGUCAUUAAUUUGGUGUCGCGGGGAAUCAGGACUGUUAACUUUGAAAAAAAUUAGAGUGUUUAAAGCAGGCUUACGCUUGAAUACAUUAGCAUGGAAUAAUGAAAUAGGACGUUUGAUUCUAUUUUGUUGGUUUCUAGGAUCGACGUAAUGAUUAAUAGGGAUAGUUGGG
Molecule: ribosomal RNA, 259 nt
Filed under: uncultured Glomus
Lineage: Eukaryota; Fungi; Glomeromycota; Glomeromycetes; Glomerales; Glomeraceae
Description: partial 18S ribosomal RNA
Rfam family: Eukaryotic small subunit ribosomal RNA
Source: RNAcentral